This 16-nucleotide unclassified non-coding RNA is filed under the name synthetic construct. The record is from RNAcentral.
GCUAAUCUACUAUAGA